CGUUUCAAUUUUUGUUGGUUUCUAGAGACGCCGCAAUGAUUAACAGGAACAGUCGGGGGCAUCAGUAUUCAGUUGUCAGAGGUGAAAUUCUUGGAUUUACUGAAGACUAACUACUGCGAAAGCAUUUGCCAAGGAUGUUUUCAUUAAUCAGUGAACGAAAGUUAGGGGAUCGAAGACGAUCAGAUACCGUCGUAGUCUUAACCGUAAACUAUGCCGACUAGGGAUCGGGCGAUGUUCUUUUUCUGACUCGCUCGGCACCUUACGAGAAAUCAAAGUUUUUGGGUUCUGGGGGGAUUAUGGUCGCAAGGCUGAAACUUAAAGAAAUUGACGGAAGGUCACCACCAGGCGUGGAGCCUGCGGCUUAAUUUGACUCAACACGGGGAAACUCACCAGGUCCAGA
Molecule: ribosomal RNA, 400 nt
Filed under: Alternaria sp. yy-3
Lineage: Eukaryota; Fungi; Ascomycota; Dothideomycetes; Pleosporales; Pleosporaceae
Description: SSU rRNA
Rfam family: Eukaryotic small subunit ribosomal RNA
Source: RNAcentral